Molecule: ribosomal RNA, 451 nt
Filed under: uncultured bacterium
Lineage: Bacteria
Description: bacterial SSU rRNA
Rfam family: Bacterial small subunit ribosomal RNA
Source: RNAcentral
GUGGGGAAUUGUUCGCAAUGGGCGCAAGCCUGACGACGCAACGCCGCGUGGGGGAUGAAGGUCUUCGGAUCGUAAACCCCUGUCGAAUGGGACGAAAGACUCGCAACUUAAUACUAUGCGAGAGUGACGGUACCGUUAAAGGAAGCCACGGCUAACUCUGUGCCAGCAGCCGCGGUAAUACAGAGGUGGCAAGCGUUGUUCGGAAUUACUGGGCGUAAAGGGCGCGUAGGCGGCCUUCUAAGUCAGACGUGAAAUCCCCCGGCUUAACCUGGGAACUGCGUCUGAUACUGGGAGGCUUGAGUAUGGGAGAGGGAUGUAGAAUUCCAGGUGUAGCGGUGAAAUGCGUAGAUAUCUGGAGGAAUACCGGUGGCGAAGGCGGCAUCCUGGACCAUUACUGACGCUGAGGCGCGAAAGCUAGGGGAGCAAACGGGAUUAGAAACCCCGGUAGUCC